AGGAGCGUCGUAUGUCGACCCGCACGAUGCACGGUCAGCGAUCGAGUGACAGCGCGGGUCUCGUCAGCCGGGCGAUGCGUCGGUUGGUCGGUUCGGUCGCGGUCGUCUGCGCGGCCGAAGAUCGUCGAGAACGGCCGAAGGCAGCCGAGCGCCGAGCUCCAGUAUAGCGGAGCGCUCCGGACGAAACGUAUUCAGUAUAUGUUAAGCAGGCGCGCGCGAUACGAGUUGUCACGUUUACUUUCCGCGAGCGCGCCGUCAUCGCGCAUCGUCGCCGCUGCCGACGACGAUCAGCGUUUUUCUUUCUCUCUCUCUCUCUUUCUCUUUCUCUCUUUCUCUCUCUCUCUCUUCCUCGAUAUGCGUAUAUCGAAUGAUAACGUUGCGCAUUACUUUCGCGUGUCUGGACAUGCAUGAAAUUUGAAAAACCAAGUGCGCGCAACGAUAAGCGGAAAGACGUUCCAUCUUCCUUCUCUUCGGUUUCCGUGACUGGCAGUUUUUAAAAGCCGCGGGUGUUCGAAAGGGAAAAAUGUCGCGACGAAAGUGAAGACUCGAACAAACCGCGUACGUACUUUCUUGCUCCCUCCGUCCUUUUCUCCGUCUUUCCUGCUGCAUUAUUUAUCGUUUCCUCUCUCUCUCUCUCUCUCUCUUUUUCUCUCUCUCGACUUCUAUCCCGUUUCUCCCUCGUGCCUCUACUCCUCGUUCCUCCUCGUACUUCUUCUCCCUCUCCCCGUCUUUUUUGCUCUCUCCUUCUCUCUUCUUCGCACCGACGUCGUCUCGUGGGGUCAGUGUCUGCUCGAUCGGAUCCUGAGCAGGAACAUACCGGCGGACGAGGAGAAAGAGGAGGAAGGAGGAGGAGGACGAUUGCAACCGUUGUGACGCGCGUUCGCGCUCGCGCACCACGUCCUUCAAGGAUCAUUUUCGGAGCGCUCCGUUUUUCGCGCCACGCGACGCGGCGGCAGAAAUGUGACGAUGUGACCCGACACGUCGACGGCAACGCAUAUCGCGAGGCACCGUCGCGAAAUCGACAGCGAGCAGAUCGAUUAUUGGCGCCGAUUGGACGCACGGCUGUCGCCCCAGGAAACUCUCUCGCUCGCUCUUUAUCACUGUCCCUCCUCGCGUAGUAUCACUUGCCUCUUUUUUUUGCUCAUUCCCCUCCCCUCUCGCCUCCUCUUUCUCGGCUAUACCAUUCCUCGUCUCUCUUCUUUUCUCGCGUGCUCUCGCACGCGCUUUUUCCAUCCGCCACUUCUGCGGUCUGCCUUGCCUCUUCCUCUCUCGCACUUUGCGGCCGCAGUCUCGCUCGCUUCGCGCCGCGUAUCUUCUCGCGAGCGAAUGCAAGAAAAAGGAGAAUCAGCGGGCGAUUGAUACCGCCGCGCGCGAAAGAGACACGCCACCUCUUGGAGAGAACGAGAUCGGACUAGCCGUGAGUUUGUGUUUUUGUUUAUCACGGACCGACUGCACCGGUAUAACUACACGCUGCACUGCACUGCUGCGCGAGAGGAAGUUGCAAGUGGACGCCCAUCGGAAGGACGAUUCGUCGCUGGAGGCGUUCGAGAAAGAUCAUCGUUCAGGAGUCAUGGUCUUCUGUUUGACGAGUACAGAACAAAUUUUGUAGCUUGAACUGAGAACGCUGUGCUGUUUGGAUUUGUGCGAAGAUUACUGGUCUUGGAAAUUUCUUCGAGGAGAAAAGGAAAAAAAGAGAGAGAAGUCUUUGAAGAAGAGACGCAUAAGAACCCAAAGAAAUAAAAGGCGGAGAUAAACACACUAGACGCUCCGAAAAUGGGUCAUGUCGGGACGACGC
Mycetomoellerius zeteki is the source of this 1795-nucleotide long non-coding RNA. RefSeq lists it as uncharacterized. The record is from RefSeq and is a predicted model, not a curated record. NCBI's taxonomy places the organism in Eukaryota, Metazoa, Arthropoda, Insecta, Hymenoptera, Formicidae. The transcript is spliced from 3 exons.